Molecule: ribosomal RNA, 445 nt
Filed under: uncultured Gammaproteobacteria bacterium
Lineage: Bacteria; Pseudomonadati; Pseudomonadota; Gammaproteobacteria
Description: bacterial SSU rRNA
Rfam family: Bacterial small subunit ribosomal RNA
Source: RNAcentral
AAGCCUAAUACAUGCAAGUCGAGCGGUAGCACAGGGAGCUUGCUCCUGGGUGACGAGCGGCGGACGGGUGAGUAAUGUCUGGGAAACUGCCUGAUGGAGGGGGAUAACUACUGGAAACGGUAGCUAAUACCGCAUAACGUCGCAAGACCAAAGAGGGGGACCUUCGGGCCUCUUGCCAUCAGAUGUGCCCAGAUGGGAUUAGCUAGUAGGUGGGGUAAUGGCUCACCUAGGCGACGAUCCCUAGCUGGUCUGAGAGAAUGACCAGCCACACUGGAACUGAGACACGGUCCAGACUCCUACGGGAGGCAGCAGUGGGGAAUAUUGCACAAUGGGCGCAAGCCUGAUGCAGCCAUGCCGCGUGUAUGAAGAAGGCCUUCGGGUUGUAAAGUACUUUCAGCGAGGAGGAAGGCAUUGUGGUUAAUAACCACAGUGAUUGACGUUACUC